CUAAGUCUCAAAUAUACUUUUGGCUAGAAGUUAAUUUUUUCUAGUUCCCUAAAAUGGUUUCUACUCAAAAGUAUAUUUUUUCUUCAAUUUUGAAAAAAAGUACUUUUUUUGAAAGGAAAAAACUGCUUUUUGAUUUGGACUAUAAGAUCUGUGCUAUUUUGGAAAACAAAAAAAAUGCUUCUGGCUCCCAAAUAUUUGGCAAAACAUGACAUUCUUUUGAAAAUAGGAAAAGGUUACAAAAGUUGCGGAGAAAUGGGCAGUACCCAGUAAGCGGAUCCUCAGUUGCAAAGUUUUCUUCUUUCUGGAACUGUGGCGUAUUUUAAAAGCUCCAAAAGUUCUCUCGGCAAUUGAGGUACAAGCAGAAUUCCCUGCUCGACUCUCGUGAGCCAAGUUUGGCAGGCCCAGUGCUGCUCUGUUUGCCUGUGUCCAACCACGCUGUAUUUUACAUUCCCAGUCUCUAUUGAGCAGACUUCCACUGUCUUGAAGCCUCUCUUGAGUAUGCUGGUUGGAUGAAUGGUCUCCCAAUCAUGCAAGAUUCUUUCAACAUUUGUUAAUCUCAAUGUUCGAAAGAUGCCAAAUCACAACUACGUUUCGGGUGAGAAACCAUUCUUCUUAUGUGAUGAUCACGCGAGGAUUGAAAACGAAGUGGCUGUCCGAUUUAUGGUGUUUGCUGUGAGAUGGAACGAUGAUCGUAGGAAUUUCGACGUUCUUGCAAGCAUAACAGGUGAUUCCCUUGGGCCAAUUUCACUGAAUGGAUUAGAUGGUUUAGAGCUUUAAAUUUCUUUAUAGGAAAGGAAAAGAGAAAGUGUAUUGUUAGAGUAGUUUCUCUUACCAAAUCAAAAUAGGAAAACAGGAAACCUUGUAUAGGUUUUAUUGGAUGUGAAUGAGUUAUCAGUGAGAUUAUAAUUCUAAAUGGCAGUGUUACAGCUUUGCUAAGAAUGUAUUGAAGAAAUGAAAAUGGUUGAGAUAGCCCAAAUUUCUUUA
Nicotiana attenuata is the source of this 984-nucleotide long non-coding RNA. RefSeq lists it as uncharacterized. The transcript is spliced from 3 exons. Lineage: Eukaryota; Viridiplantae; Streptophyta; Magnoliopsida; Solanales; Solanaceae. The record is from RefSeq and is a predicted model, not a curated record.